CCUACGGGAGGCUGCAGUGGGGAAUAUUGCACAAUGGGCGCAAGCCUGAUGCAGCCAUGCCGCGUGUGUGAAGAAGGCCUUCGGGUUGUAAAGCACUUUCAGCGGGGAGGAAGGCGGUGAGGUUAAUAACCUCAUCGAUUGACGUUACCCGCAGAAGAAGCACCGGCUAACUCCGUGCCAGCAGCCGCGGUAAUACGGAGGGUGCAAGCGUUAAUCGGAAUUACUGGGCGUAAAGCGCACGCAGGCGGUCUGUCAAGUCGGAUGUGAAAUCCCCGGGCUCAACCUGGGAACUGCAUUCGAAACUGGCAGGCUAGAGUCUUGUAGAGGGGGGUAGAAUUCCAGGUGUAGCGGGGAAAUGCGUAGAGAUCUGGAGGAAUACCGGUGGCGAAGGCGGCCCCCUGGACAAAGACUGACGCUCAGGUGCGAAAGCGUGGGGAGCAAACAGGAUUAGAUACCCCAGUAGUC
This 465-nucleotide ribosomal RNA is filed under the name uncultured Klebsiella sp. Its description in RNAcentral is "bacterial SSU rRNA". It matches the Rfam family "Bacterial small subunit ribosomal RNA", at positions 338 to 795 of the family's 1533-position model. Lineage: Bacteria; Pseudomonadati; Pseudomonadota; Gammaproteobacteria; Enterobacterales; Enterobacteriaceae. The record is from RNAcentral.